UACGUAGGGUGCAAGCGUUGUCCGGAAUUAUUGGGCGUAAAGAGCUCGUAGGCGGUCUGUCGCGUCGGCUGUGAAAACCCAGGGCUCAACCCUGGGCCUGCAGUCGAUACGGGCAGACUAGAGUCCGGCAGGGGAGACUGGAAUUCCUGGUGUAACGGUGAAAUGCGCAGAUAUCAGGAGGAACACCGGUGGCGAAGGCGGGUCUCUGGGCCGGAACUGACGCUGAGGAGCGAAAGCGUGGGGAGCGAACAGG
This 253-nucleotide ribosomal RNA is filed under the name uncultured bacterium. RNAcentral's name for it is "partial 16S ribosomal RNA". It matches the Rfam family "Bacterial small subunit ribosomal RNA", at positions 524 to 776 of the family's 1533-position model. The record is from RNAcentral.